AUUUCUAUCACACUUUUUGUGUCGUGUGAUUUUUUUAACUAAAAAUUGAUUAAAAAAAUAUUGCAAGAAACUAUAAAAUAAAGCAAAAAGUGUUUCUUGGGGUCCAUCGGGUAACUAGUGCUAUAAAACUGCAAUAACAUUUCUUUUAUGGCACUCAGCGCUUGCUUUUUUGCUUUGUGUGUCAUUCUCAAAAAACGUGUCGGCUGGAUCAGUACAUUUUAAAAAUUCUUAUUUAUUUGUUCAAUCCCUGUGUGUGAAUAAUUAAUUUCUAAUUAUUAAGACGAAUUCUUAAAUUCCUACAAAAAAAAGUCCCUAAAAUCAGCAAGGAUGGACACGGAGGACAAAACUAUUUGGAAGGAAAGCCUUGUUUUUACUAUAAAAUCAUACGCAACUCUGAUGGAUAUCCAUACCCAUAGUUGACGUAUUCCUCGAAGCGCAAUGUUGGUUCCCGUCAAUUGCAUACGCACACUUCGCUUACCAUGGACAAUUUUAGGGAUGAAUAAUGCGAAUCUGGAAAACUAGCCGCAGAUCUGCGGAAAGCAAAAUUUAAGCCCCUCUGGAUGCGUUAGUGCUAUUGCUCCGCUUUAUUUCGGCUCUUUGGUCCCGAAAAUUUGCAUCAGAGCAAGCGUUUCCAAUGCUUGCUCAGUUUCAGUAGGCCUCUACACUGGGAGAAAUUUCUUUUUUUAAAGAAAAUUUCCCCUAUCUUAGUAGGCAGAAACAUGAGAAUAUUUUAAAAAAGGCAAUUUUUGACGAAAAAUGCUAUAAGUGCAUAGACACCAGGCAGGCCAGACAGCAAAGGCUGCUUCGUCCGAUGCAGAGGAAAAGAAGAAAAUUAGAGAUAAUCUGUUUAAACUUUUCAAAUAAAAUUUAUUUUACACAUCUCUUGCUAUCUUAAGAAUUUAGUUUUUUUUUCUCAAUAUGACACAUGUACGCCACUGACUAAACUAAAGCAAGAAUCAAAUAAAGUAAUCAAGAAACAAAAUCACACUAUAUAUUUUUCUUAACAUUUUGGGAAUUGAAAGAUACUGAUUAUAGUGGAAUAAUUAGUGGACAUGCUCCUCUGGUGGAAUCCAAGAGUCAAUAUCAGGUAGUUUGUUGCCCCAUUCUCGAGCCAUUAUCAAAAUCGUGUUUUGAUGAAGUUUCGGGCCUAUCAACGGGUUCAUUUGAGCCAUAUAGCAACACAA
Molecule: long non-coding RNA, 1184 nt
Organism: Phlebotomus papatasi
Lineage: Eukaryota; Metazoa; Arthropoda; Insecta; Diptera; Psychodidae
Exons: 3
Source: RefSeq, a predicted model, not a curated record